Molecule: non-coding RNA, 121 nt
Organism: Picea glauca (white spruce)
Lineage: Eukaryota; Viridiplantae; Streptophyta; Pinopsida; Pinales; Pinaceae
Source: Rfam
ACAUGCCUACAACAUAGCGGUAAUGCACUGGAUCCCAUUAGAACUUUGCAGUUAAGCGCCCUCGAGCUAGAUUAGUAUUGGGAUGGGUGACCACCCAGAAAGUCCUAGUGUUUUACAUGCC